CCUACGGGGGGCAGCAGUGAGGAAUAUUGGUCAAUGGCCGGAAGGCUGAACCAGCCAAGCCGCGUGAAGGACGAAUGUGCCAAGCAUUGUAAACUUCUUUUGUCAAGGGAUAAAAUCAGGCUCGAGAGCCUGACCGAGGGUACUUGAUGAAAAAGCAUCGGCUAACUCCGUGCCAGCAGCCCCGGUAAUACGGAGGCUCCUAGCGUUAUCCGGAUUUAUUGGGUUUAACGGGAGCGUAGAUGGGUUGUUAAGUCCGUUGUGAAAGUUUGCGGCUCAACCGGAAAAUUGCAAUUGAUACUGGCAGUCUUGAGUGCAGGUGAGGUAGGCGGAAUUCGUGGUGUAGCAGUGAAAUGCUUAGAUAGCACGAAGAACUCCGAUUGCGAAGGCAGCUUACGAAACUGCCACUGACAUUGAUGCUCGAAAGUGUGGGUAUCAAACAGGAUUAGAUACCCCAGUAGUC
Molecule: ribosomal RNA, 460 nt
Filed under: uncultured bacterium
Lineage: Bacteria
Description: partial 16S ribosomal RNA
Rfam family: Bacterial small subunit ribosomal RNA
Source: RNAcentral